ACUUUUAUUGGACAACAGCCGUCCGA
This 26-nucleotide transfer RNA is filed under the name Agama rueppelli. RNAcentral describes it as "partial tRNA-Leu". The record is from RNAcentral. Lineage: Eukaryota; Metazoa; Chordata; Lepidosauria; Squamata; Agamidae.